This 51-nucleotide transfer RNA is filed under the name Deltaproteobacteria bacterium RBG_13_53_10. RNAcentral describes it as "tRNA-Ser". It matches the Rfam family "tRNA", at positions 24 to 71 of the family's 71-position model. Rfam says of the family: Transfer RNA (tRNA) molecules are approximately 80 nucleotides in length. Their secondary structure includes four short double-helical elements and three loops (D, anti-codon, and T loops). Lineage: Bacteria; Deltaproteobacteria. The record is from RNAcentral.
CACCGGCCUUUCACGUCGGCAACAGGGGUUCGAAUCCCCUUGGGGACGCCA